This 446-nucleotide ribosomal RNA is filed under the name uncultured bacterium. RNAcentral's name for it is "bacterial SSU rRNA". It matches the Rfam family "Bacterial small subunit ribosomal RNA", at positions 331 to 793 of the family's 1533-position model. The record is from RNAcentral.
CCAGACUCCUACGGGAGGCAGCAGUGGGGGAUAUUGCACAAUGGGGGAAACCCUGAUGCAGCGACGCCGCGUGGGUGAAGAAGUAUUUCGGUAUGUAAAGCCCUAUCGGCAGGGAAGAAAUUGGACGGUACCUGACUAAGAAGCCCCGGCUAACUACGUGCCAGCAGCCGCGGGAAUACGUAGGGGGCAAGCGUUAUCCGGAUUCACUGGGUGUAAAGGGAGCGUAGACGGCCAUGCAAGCCUGGAGUGAAAGCCCGGGGCCCAACCCCGGGACUGCUCUGGGAACUGUGCGGCUGGAGUGCGGGAGGGGCAGGCGGAAUUCCUGGUGUAGCGGUGAAAUGCGUAGAUAUCAGGAGGAACACCGGCGGCGAAGGCGGCCUGCUGGACCGCGACUGACGUUGAGGCUCGAAAGCGUGGGGAGCAAACAGGAUUAGAUACCCCUGUAA